GGGGAGAUGCCCGAGUGGUUCAAGGGGCCGGUCUGUAAAAUCGGUGCGCUCGUGCGCGUCGGGGGUUCGAAUCCCUCUCUCCCCACCG
This 88-nucleotide transfer RNA is filed under the name Thermomicrobium roseum DSM 5159. RNAcentral describes it as "tRNA-Tyr". It matches the Rfam family "tRNA". Rfam says of the family: Transfer RNA (tRNA) molecules are approximately 80 nucleotides in length. Their secondary structure includes four short double-helical elements and three loops (D, anti-codon, and T loops). Further hydrogen bonds mediate the characteristic L-shaped molecular structure. tRNAs have two regions of fundamental functional importance: the anti-codon, which is responsible for specific mRNA codon recognition, and the 3' end, to which the tRNAs corresponding amino acid is attached (by aminoacyl-tRNA synthetases). tRNAs cope with the degeneracy of the genetic code in two manners: having more than one tRNA (with a specific anti-codon) for a particular amino acid; and 'wobble' base-pairing, i.e. permitting non-standard base-pairing at the 3rd anti-codon position. The record is from RNAcentral. Lineage: Bacteria; Pseudomonadati; Thermomicrobiota; Thermomicrobia; Thermomicrobiales; Thermomicrobiaceae.